This 523-nucleotide ribosomal RNA is filed under the name uncultured bacterium. RNAcentral's name for it is "partial 16S ribosomal RNA". It matches the Rfam family "Bacterial small subunit ribosomal RNA", at positions 28 to 523 of the family's 1533-position model. The record is from RNAcentral.
GACGAACGCUGGCGGCGUGCCUAAUACAUGCAAGUCGAACGCUUUUUCUUUCACCGGAGCUUGCUCCACCGAAAGAAAAAGAGUGGCGAACGGGUGAGUAACACGUGGGUAACCAGCCCAUCAGAAGGGGAUAACACUUGGAAACAGGUGCUAAUACCGUAUAACACUAUUUUCCGCAUGGAAGAAAGUUGAAAGGCGCUUUUGCGUCACUGAUGGAUGGACCCGCGGUGCAUUAGCUAGUUGGUGAGGUAACGGCUCACCAAGGCGACGAUGCAUAGCCGACCUGAGAGGGUGAUCGGCCACACUGGGACUGAGACACGGCCCAGACUCCUACGGGAGGUAGCAGUAGGGAAUCUUCGGCAAUGGACGAAAGUCUGACCGAGCAACGCCGCGUGAGUGAAGAAGGUUUUCGGAUCGUAAAACUCUGUUGUUAGAGAAGAACAAGGAUGAGAGUAAAACGUUCAUCCCUUGACGGUAUCUAACCAGAAAGCCACGGCUAACUACGUGCCAGCAGCCGCCGUAA